RNA transcript from Felis catus (domestic cat), 1573 nucleotides. RefSeq lists it as uncharacterized. Lineage: Eukaryota; Metazoa; Chordata; Mammalia; Carnivora; Felidae. The transcript is spliced from 4 exons. The record is from RefSeq and is a predicted model, not a curated record.
CCCACCCCCUGCCCACGUCACUGUGUCGGUGAGACCGGUGGAGGAGAAAGGAGCGAGAGGGAGAAAGGAAGGCAAGGUAAUGAGCGACCUUCAGGGGAAGGAGUUCAGAAAGAGGCACCAGAGGAAGAGACACACGAUAGGCAGGUCUGCCCUCCUCAGCUCAGAGGAGCAAGGGACCAUCAACAGGGUCACUCCUGGCCAUCCUGAAGCAUUCCCGCUGUGCCCCAAGGCCACCAACAGCGCCUCAGUUAACAGCCUGGGCUCCUCAUUUCCAGAAGUUUUAGAUUAAUCAAAGGAAUUAAAUCAGACUCACCUCGGGCAUGACCUUGCACGAAGCCUGGCUUGACCAGAGCUUUGGGAGCAGAACACCUCUGGGUGCAAACCCCGCCUCUGCACAGUGGCUGUCCUGGACUAGAGACUCAGUACCUAGUUGCUGAGUGAGUUUGGACUAGCUACUUACACGCGGUAAGCCUCAGUUUCCCCAUCUGUAAAGUGGGAUUGGUAACACCCGCGUCUGGGGCUGUGGUAAGGGUCUCGGGGCCUAGUGGCCAGGGAGGGCUUGACAAACAAGCUGACAUUCAUGGCCGUGACUCACAUCCUUCGCCAUCACCGCCCCCCACCAUCAGUCCGCGGGGCUGGCUUGUGGGUCUCCACACCCUGGUCCCCACCCGGACUGUAACAUCCUUGGGGCCAGGGAUUCUGUCUCUGUUAUUUUUGUCUUAUUCAUGCCCCUGUCUCCGCCCAAGCCCGGCCCACCCUGACACCCAGCCACUGUCAGCUGAGGGAAUGGCCUGGCUCCUGGACGGGGACACAGGCUGGGGACGCACCUGAUUGCCGCGGGCGACCCCGUAGCGCAACUCGUUCACAAAGUGCUCGCAGUUCUCACAGGGCAGCGAGUAGGGCAGCUCCUGGCCCACCAGCUGCUCCGCCCGCUGGACGAUUUUGCUGGGAGGCAGCGGCGAGUACUUGUCAUCGUGUUUGUUAUUGACCUGGUACCUGUCUCUCCCGACCACGUCAUUCCAGCAGCAGCUUCUCCGUCACGGCCUUCUCAGUCAGGGUGGACGUGGUGCGGCCACACCAGCUCCCACAAUUUCACCCGAGAUUCACAAAGAGGAGACGGUGACUUCAGCCCUGGGCUCAGAGCCGGCCCCAAGCAGGCAGCCCCGUUGCCCUCGGCCUCAUCGAACCACAGACGCAUAGGGGAUUGGACCUGGGGAGUGACGUCCCUCAAGUACAACGGGGUGGGUGGAAGUGAACCCCAUCAUCUAAUGGAAAAAAGGUGCACGGUGUCUCCAUGAACCUCCUGCUAAGGAGGAAUCACAGUCGACGUACAGAGCAGGGAAGAACACGCAGCAAAUUGUCACAGAGGGCCUCUUAAUGCCAGACACUCGCGAACACCCCCAUACACGCACGACUGUUCACACCUCACCCCUGGUGCUUAAACAGAGAAACUGUCCUGGGGCACCUGGGUGGCUCGGUCGGUGAGGCGUCCGACUUCGGCUCAGGUCACGAUCUCACGGUUCGUGGGUUCGAGCCCCGAGUCGGGCUCUGUGCGGACAGCUGGGAGCCUGGA